Molecule: ribosomal RNA, 399 nt
Filed under: uncultured bacterium
Lineage: Bacteria
Description: bacterial SSU rRNA
Rfam family: Bacterial small subunit ribosomal RNA
Source: RNAcentral
AGCGAACGUUAGCGGCAGGCCUAACACAUGCAAGUCGCACGAGAAUCCGGCUUCGGCCGGUAGUGAAGUGGCGGACGGGUGAGUAACACGUGGAUAAUCUGCCCUUCGGCGGGGGACAACAGUCCGAAAGGAUUGCUAAUACCGCGUAAGUCGGCGAGGUCUUCGGAUCUUGUCGGGAAAGAUGGCCUCUUCAUGAAAGCUAUCGCUGAAGGAUGAGUCCGCGUCCCACAGCUAGUUGGCGGGGUAAUGGCCCACCAAGGCUUAGACGGGUAGCUGGUCUGAGAGGAUGAUCAGCCACACUGGAACUGAGACACGGUCCAGACUCCUACGGGAGGCAGCAGUGGGGAAUAUUGGGCAAUGGACGCAAGCCUGACCCAGCCAUGCCGCGUGAGUGAUGAA